AAGGUGCAGGUGCCAGGCCUGAGCUGUGAGGGCCCCUCCAGCGCCCCCACCCGGACCCUCCGCUGGGCCACUCCAGGCCAGGCGGUCUGUGUCAACUGCAAGGCCUAUGAAGGGUGCAGAGAGAAUUGCUUUUCUACCUUGCAGCACGAAGCCUCCCCCAGGGAUCCUCCACGCCCCCCAGCUGCACCAAGACUUUCAAUUACGAGCACCAGUGCCCUCCUGGAGUCUGGUGGUGCCCUCCCCAGCAGCCAGCCCCUCUGCCUCCGCACAAGGGAGGGCCCAGGGAGGCUCAGGACCUGUGUGGCUGUGUGUGUGUCUACACGGGCGGACUGAACCACCAAAUUCCUCCUCAGAGCCCAGUAAAGGCACCAGGCAGAAGGGUCUGGCCGAGGGGGGCCGCUGUCUCCUCACUCCUCCGUGGAGUCCUGUCUUCUGACUUUUGUCACGUGCUGCCGCAGCCUGUGGACGCCUGGUCCCCACGUGGAGAGGGGCUUGUGGUCCCUCCUCUGAGCGCCUGCUUUGUGCCCGGCCUCGGGCCAAACUUUGAAUGAGACUCCUGUCUUACUUGAGUGCUUAUGUUUUG
Molecule: long non-coding RNA, 583 nt
Filed under: Rhinopithecus roxellana (golden snub-nosed monkey)
Lineage: Eukaryota; Metazoa; Chordata; Mammalia; Primates; Cercopithecidae
Description: lncRNA (ENSRROG00000045864.1)
Source: RNAcentral